RNAcentral lists this ribosomal RNA (1507 nucleotides) under uncultured bacterium. RNAcentral describes it as "partial 16S ribosomal RNA". It matches the Rfam family "Bacterial small subunit ribosomal RNA". The record is from RNAcentral.
GAUCCUGGCUCAGGACGAACGCUGGCGGCGUGCUUAACACAUGCAAGUCGAACGAGAGGAUGAGGAAGCUCGCUUCUUCGGAAUCGAGUGGCAAACGGGUGAGUAACGCGUAAACAACCUGCCCUCGGGAUGGGGACAACAGCUGGAAACGGCUGCUAAUACCGAAUAUCUUCAUGGAGCCGCAUGACACCAUGAAGAAAGGAUGGCCUCUAUUUAUAAGCUAUCGCCGGAGGAGGGGUUUGCGUCUGAUUAGCUAGUUGGAGGGGUAACGGCCCACCAAGGCGACGAUCAGUAGCCGGUCUGAGAGGACGAACGGCCACAUUGGAACUGAGACACGGUCCAGACUCCUACGGGAGGCAGCAGUGGGGAAUCUUCCGCAAUGGGCGAAAGCCUGAUCCAGCCAUGCCGCGUGUGUGAAGAAGGUCUUCGGAUUGUAAAGCACUUUAAGUUGGGAGGAAGGGCAGUAAGUUAAUACCUUGCUGUUUUGACGUUACCAACAGAAUAAGCACCGGCUAACUUCGUGCCAGCAGCCGCGGUAAUACGAAGGGUGCAAGCGUUAAUCGGAAUUACUGGGCGUAAAGCGCGCGUAGGUGGUUCAGCAAGUUGGAUGUGAAAUCCCCGGGCUCAACCUGGGAACUGCAUCCAAAACUACUGAGCUAGAGUACGGUAGAGGGUGGUGGAAUUUCCUGUGUAGCGGUGAAAUGCGUANAGAUCUGGAGGAAUACCGAUGGCGAANGCAGCCAUCUGGCCUAACACUGACNCUGAGGUGCGAAAGCAUGGGGAGCAAACAGGAUUANAUACCCCUGGUAGUCCAUGCCGUAAACGAUGUCUACUANCCGUUGGGGCCCUUUGGCGCAGNUAACNCGAUAAGUAGNCCGCNUGGGNAGUACGGUCGCAAGANUAAAACUCAAAUGAAUUGACGGGGGCCCGCNCAAGCGGUGGAGCAUGUGGUUUAAUUCGAUGCAACGCGAAGAACCUUACCUGGCCUUGACAUGCUGAGAACUUUCCAGAGAUGGAUUGGUGCCUUCGGGAACUCAGACACAGGUGCUGCAUGGCUGUCGUCAGCUCGUGUCGUGAGAUGUUGGGUUAAGUCCCGUAACGAGCGCAACCCUUGUCCUUAGUUACCAGCACCUCGGGUGGGCACUCUAAGGAGACUGCCGGUGACAAACCGGAGGAAGGUGGGGAUGACGUCAAGUCAUCAUGGCCCUUACGGCCAGGGCUACACACGUGCUACAAUGGUCGGUACAAAGGGUUGCCAAGCCGCGAGGUGGAGCUAAUCCCAUAAAACCGAUCGUAGUCCGGAUCGCAGUCUGCAACUCGACUGCGUGAAGUCGGAAUCGCCAGUAAUCGUGAAUCAGAAUGUCACGGUGAAUACGUUCCCGGGCCUUGUACACACCGCCCGUCACACCAUGGGAGUGGGUUGCUCCAGAAGUAGCUAGUCUAACCGCAAGGGGGACGGUUACCACGGAGUGAUUCAUGACUGGGGUGAAGUCGUAACAAGGUAGCC